AUGCUCUUUGCGGAUGAUGUGGUGCUAGUUGAUGAUAGUCAGACGGGGGUAAAUAGGAAGUUCGAGUUAUGGAGACAAACCUUGGAAUCGACAGGGUUUAGGCUUAGUAGAACUAAAACCGAGUACAUGAUGUGCGGUUUCAGUACUACUAGCUGUGAGGAGGAGGAGGUUAGCCUUGAUGGCCAGGUGGUACCUCGGAAGGACACCUUUCGGUAUUUGGGGUCAAUGUUGCAGGAGGAUGGGGGUAUUGAUGAAGAUGUGAACCAUCGAAUCAAAGCCGGAUGGAUGAAGUGGCGCCAAGCUUCUGGCAUUCUCUGUGACAAGAGAGUGCCACAAAAGCUAAAAGGCAAGUUCUACAGGACGACGGUUCGACCCGCAAUGUUGUAUGGCGCGGAGUGUUGGCCGACUAAAAGGCGACAUGUUCAACAGUUAGGUGUGGCAGAGAUGCGUAUGUUGAGAUGGAUGUGUGGCCACACAAGGAAGGAUCGAGUCCGGAAUGAUGAUAUACGAGAUAGAGUUGGGGUAGCACCAAUUGAGGAGAAGCUUGUCCAACAUCGUUUGAGAUGGUUUGGGCAUAUUCAGCGCAGGCCUCCAGAAGCUCCAGUGCAUAGCGGACGGCUAAAGCGUGCGGAGAAUGUCAAGAGCGGGCGGGGUCGACCGAUUUUGACAUGGGAGGAGUCCGUUAAGAGAGACCUGAAGGAUUGGAGUAUCGACAAAGAGCUAGCUAUGGACAGGGGUGCGUGGAAGCUUGCUAUCCAUGUGCCAGAGCCAUGA
Molecule: ribosomal RNA, 774 nt
Filed under: Triticum aestivum (bread wheat)
Lineage: Eukaryota; Viridiplantae; Streptophyta; Magnoliopsida; Poales; Poaceae
Description: partial small subunit ribosomal RNA
Source: RNAcentral